This 253-nucleotide ribosomal RNA is filed under the name uncultured bacterium. RNAcentral describes it as "partial 16S ribosomal RNA". It matches the Rfam family "Bacterial small subunit ribosomal RNA", at positions 524 to 776 of the family's 1533-position model. The record is from RNAcentral.
UACGUAGGUGGCGAGCGUUGUCCGGAAUUACUGGGUGUAAAGGGCGUGUAGGCGGGCUAUUAAGUCAGAUGUGAAAUUCCGAGGCUUAACCUCGGCGCUGCAUCUGAAACUGAUGGUCUUGAGUGCUGGAGAGGAAAGUGGAAUUCCUAGUGUAGCGGUGAAAUGCGUAGAUAUUAGGAGGAACACCAGUGGCGAAGGCGGCUUUCUGGACAGUAACUGACGCUGAGGCGCGAAAGCGUGGGGAGCAAACAGG